Gasterosteus aculeatus aculeatus (three-spined stickleback) is the source of this 6260-nucleotide long non-coding RNA. The record is from Ensembl. NCBI's taxonomy places the organism in Eukaryota, Metazoa, Chordata, Actinopteri, Perciformes, Gasterosteidae.
GUUUUCUGUCAUCUCACUUCGGAUUUGAGUGGGUAUGUUUGUUCAAAACCUUUAUGUUUUGUCUCAUAAUGGCGUUUCACAUUGCCACUUUUAAUAAGUGCCACGGUUUCUGAACAUAUAAGACACACUGGUUUUGUGCUCCCUGUGGGAAGUAUGAACAGAAAUGAGUCUGUCCAUUCCGGAUUAAAUGCUCUAUUUUCGCUGUCAACUUUUCUUUUUUUGGAGAGCGACAUUUGUUCUUUAUGUUUCUCUCCCUUUCUCUGUCUCACUCGCCUUUUCAUCAACUUUCUCCGGCGCAGUCGUCCGUUUCUCUCCCUUUGUUUUCUAAAUGUGUCGCUAUGUUUCUUUUUCUUUAACUUUCUCAUCUCUCAGUGCGGCCGCAGCGCUGUCUUGAGACGUAAUGUUUACCGCCGAGAAUGCAUAGAUUUGAUUGGCUAAGUGGUAUCACGUGGGAUGGCUUAACUCGCAUGCAAUUGGUCUGUGCGUUUCCUCAUCCGCUAAACCACUACCGUAAAUACUGCAAAAGCCGCGCCGUGCCGCCGGGUAAAAAAAAUAAAAACGCCGUCAGGUUUUAAAUCACAAGCUUCUGUUUUGGCUGGCGGUCCGGAUGGGACGGCCUCUGGGUCCGGACCCGGACCGCGGUCCACCAGUUAGUGACUUAUGGACUAGACUGAUCUCUGGUGGGGACGAGUCCGCCUACAGGUGGGAGUCUGACCAUCUGGUGUCGUGGUGCAGCCAGAACAACCUGGAGCUCAACGCUCUGAAGACAGUGGAGAUGGUUGUGGAUUUCCGGCGGAACAGAGCCCCACCCUCCCCCAUCACCCUGUGUGACUCCCCCGUCACUAUUGUGGAUUCCUUCCGUUUCCUGGGCUCCAUCAUCACCCAGGACCUCAAGUGGGAGCUGAACAUCAGCUCCAUCACCAAGAAGGCUCAGCAGAGGUUGUUCUUCCUGAGGCAGCUGAAGAAAUUCAACCUGCCAAAGAUGAUGAUGAUCCACUUCUACACGGCCAUCAUGGAGUCCAUCCUCUGCUCCUCCAUCACCGUCUCGUACGCUGCAGCCACAGCCAAGGCCGUCACUUUUGUCACUUCCUGUUCGCUAGUGCACUUUAUUUUUACACUUUUAACUUAACUUUGUUAUUUUAUUUUAAACUAACCCAUAGCCUUAUUCUACUAACCCUUAUUUUAUUGUAUUACUCGUGCACUGCUGUCUUGUCGUCUAUUGUCAUACUGUCUACUGUCACGCACCAACCGCCAAGUCAAAUUCCUUGUAUGUCUGACAUAUUUUGGCAAUACAUUACAUUACAUGUCAUUUAGAUGACGCUUUUAUCCAAAGCGACGUACAAUAAGUGCAUUCAACCACAGGAUACAAACUCAGAAGAACAAGAAAGUGCAAUUUCCUCAAAUAAGCCAAUUUACAACUUGCUAUAGAUUAGUGACGUUAUAUAUACAAUUUAAGUGCUACAAUUUGUUAGUCUUUUAGUCGCGGUAGAGUCUGAAGAGGUGUGUCUAGUUUGCGGCGGAAGAUGUGAAGGUUCUCUGCGGUCCUGGUGUCUUCAGAGAGCUCGUUCCACCAUUGCGGAGCAGGACAGCGAAGAGUCGAGAUCUAGUCGAGUGUUUUGCUCUCAGUGAGAGCAGUGCUCUCAAUACAUGUUUCCUGAUUUCACAUAUCAUCAGAGGUGUCAAGUAACGAAGUACAAAUACUUCGUUACUGUACUUAAGUAGAAAUUUUGGGUAUCUAUACUUUACUGGAGUAUUUCUUUUUCAGACGACUUUUUACUUCUACUCCUUACAUUUUCACGCAAAUAUCUGUACUUUCUACUCCUUACAUUUUAAUAACAAAGUAACUAUAGCCUCGUUACUUCCGGCUUGUCGUAGUUCAAAAACACAAAGACAAAAAACCCAUCUAGAUAAAUGUCGCUAUGCGGACAGAGUGCUUGUGAUUGUGGUUGGAUGAGAAGUAUAAACAUUUAGCAUCCAGACACCCGAUUGGUUUUCUCCGCGAUGCGCCGGCAGAUCGGAGCGACACCGGGUGGGAAAAGUGGUCUUUGGAAAGUUGGUAUUUAGCGACAUGGAGCCUCCUCCUCUUCCUCACGCAGAUUCCACGUAACGUUAAGUUACGUUGAGUAUCUUCAUGACCGUGGGUUUGUCCUAAAUGUUUUAUUGAGAGUCUGGCACAACACAGCGACUUGCAAGCAGCGUAUUAAAUAAAGUGAUGUGUGUCUUAAUGCGGCUUGAGAAAUGAACACAAAGGGAUUCUGUAUUUGCUCUUGAAGCCUGAAAAUACUGAUAACCGGCCGCUGCCAGUUCAGUGUUUCCCAUCAUUAUAAACAGGGGUGCGCCCCCCAUGACGUAGUAAACCUGGGGGAGACACUGCAGUCUACCGAAUCAAUGCGAGCAAUGUGUGUGUGAUUCGUGUCACUGGGAAAUGGGUUGUGGUUUUAUCGGUUUAAGUUAAUUAGAUACAUUUGUUGUUUUGUUGUUGUGUCUUUGAAUAUCGCCAUGUUUCCACCAUCCCAACGGCAGGUCACGUGAUCUGCAGGCACCUUCUGAUCACAUGGUGACGGACUGACGUGUUGUGUGAGCGAGGUUACACAUUAAGAGUUUGUCCUUAAUGGAAUUUCUUACAUUACUUUUACUUUUAUACUUUUAAGUAGUUUUGAAACCAGUACUUUUAUACUUUUACUUAAGUAAAAAGCUUGAGUCGAUACUUCAACUUCUACAGGAGUCUUUUUAAACCCUAAUAUCUGUACUUCUACUUGAGUAAUGAAUGUGAAUACUUUUGACACCUCUGCAUAUCAUUACAUCCAGUGCUGUAGUGGUAAAAUGGUGGGUAAGAGGUGGGUAAACUCUGAAUUUUGUGAUCAUACAACGCGAUGCGAAGCAACGCAACACAAAGCGUCGCGACUCUUGUAAGGCUGUCCUGGCUAUAUUGCAGAAUUUUAUCAGUAAAAGUCAUAUACAAUCAAUGACAAUGAAUACAUGUGUUAGUAGUUUGUAGUUUAUUAAAUUUAAGAAAACAGUAAAGAAAAGUAUGUCAACACAACAAGACAAUUGCAGAUUAAGAACUAUCUACAUACGGAGUCUCCUUUUCACAGUAGUGCCCAGAGGGGCUCCUUGUCCUCCACGUCAGGUCCUGCCUUGCACAGAGGAGCCAUGAACCCCAGAACACGUGUUCUGGGGUUCAUGGCUCCUCUGUGCUUCUCUCUCUAUUGGACCUGGUGUUUCUCUCCCUGUGCUCUCUGCAUCAUUGCCUGUCCUCUCACUGCCUGAACAAAUAUGUUGAAUUUAAGAGUUAACCAGUUAAGCAGCCUGUCAAUUACACUGACAACAUAAGUUAAAGGAACACUCAUGUACUACCUAUGUCAUCAGAAAUAGCCUAUACAGCAGGGGUUUUUUAACAUUGAGAACAGACUUGUUUUGUAAUCUACGCGUCACCAGGCGUUUUUCUUGUCCUUUUACCGUGCACGACCAGCGAACACAGAACCCCGUCGGUCGUUCCGCCCGCAACGACGACUACACCCCUCCCCCCGUCGGACCUUCUCGACCGAUCCGCGAAAUAUUGUCUGACAUGAAACCGGUCCGUGAGGUAAGAAAGGUCGGGGACCACUGGGCUGAUCCACAGCGUGUGUUUACACACCUCCUGGAUCCUGAUUGGUCGCUGCUGCAGCUGCAAGGCACUGAUUGGAUGCUCACAGACCGUAAUACAGCGCAGAUGAACAUGAUUCAGACUACGCCGUUUAUAUGUUCAACAAUAGGAAACGUAGUCUUAGCUGUUUUAAAAUUACACCAAGUUUAUUUCGGAUUAUUCCAACGGAAGAAUACAAGGCGCAGGGAACUUUGAGGUGCGUAAACGCUAUUUAUAGGUCCGUAAACGCUAUUUCCAAAAUUCCAGAGGUGCGUAAACGGCGUUUACGUGCGUUUACCCUCCACUACAGCCCUGAUUACAUCCCCCUGGAUAUACAUUUUUAUAUUCAUGAACAAGCUAUUCUUUUUAACACCUUAAAUCUGUAACUUUCACAUAUCAUUACAAGCACCACCGUAGAGAUCGUAUGGGAAUGAUGUCCCCGACUAAGGAGAGCCAAGAUGAGCCUCCAACAUUAUCAUCAGGGGCCGCUUAUAGGUCCAGGCUGCCCAGGAUAAUGGCAACAAGGAUUCUCGGCAGGAAAAGUUUGAGCCCUGUAUGCAGUUAUCCUCAUUUCCUGUCCUGAUAGUUUAUAGGAAAAGGCUAUGCUUCAAAGUAACAAUAGUAAACACGAAAGUUUAUCAAACCUAACAUUCAUUCCUCGUCCGCCUGUCCACAUAAAUGGGGAAAAUAAAGCUUUAAACACAUUAAACUCUGAUGAAAGAAUGUUUAUUAAUAGUAAUCAUGGUAGUAAUAACUGCAAUAAUAACAAUUGGGAUAUUAAUCAUGUAAAAAUAAUGUAAUGAAUAGUAUCGUUUAGUUGGAGCACAUUGGAAGCAGAAAAGUUGUGUUUAUUAGUUUUCCUUUUUUUCUCUUAACUCUACAUAUACGUUACCAUUCAGUUGGACACACUUUCUCAUUGAAUUGAAGAAAAUGUGUCCGAUCUUUUAAAUGGUACUAUAAAUAUAUAUAUUAGUGCCGGGCAGAGAUUUCAAUUUUUAUUCGCAGUCAAUUGCAUAAUUGACUGUAUCCCCUGUAUUCCCUUUACACUGUAGCAGUUCAAAUAUAUCUUGUAAAUCUCAAUCGAAAAAGGAAUUCAAUCAAAUCAAAUAUAAAAAUCUGCCACUGCCAGCGCAUUACCCUUUGAUCUAGUCUGUUAUAGCAAAACAGGUUACAUUAUAACUGGCACCUUCCCAUCAACAGUGAACAAAUAACUUGGUUCUAUCAGCUGCACCUUCUUCACGUUUAAAAUGAGAAGAGGUUGGUACCUUCUUCCAGUUCUGUUCUCUUUGGGUACCUGUGAGCGAUAAGAGCAGUGUUGCUGUGUUCACACCAAACGCCCUUUUUUCCCCUCUGCCAUCAACAAUGAAAGAUAUAACAACUAUGUACUUGUUGGGGAGAUUUUACUAACGUCAGACCACCAAAUGCUCUCGUCCCAUGUGGGUACAACAUCCGUAGGGGCAGACAGUUUGGUGAAUUUCACCGACUUCAACAGGAACUGCGUCUAGGUGAUUGCUGCUUCCAGUGGUACAUAAUGCUAGCCGUUAGCUCGUUUGAUGGCUCUUUGUCUCGGAUCGGUGACUGCUGAGGAAACUGUCCUAUGGCAACACACCGUGUAAUGCUCAGGCGCAUCCAAAUGGCUCUUUUAAGAGCUAGACACGUUAUUAUUGAGCAAAUGUCCUGCAAUAUUAGAAAAGAGAGAAAGUAUCCUUCAUUGAUCCCCUUGGGGAAACUGUUCUCUGCAUUUGACCCGUCCCACACAGUGAGAGCAGUGUGCUGCCAGUAAAGGCGCCCGGGGAGCAGUUAGAGGUUAGGUGUCUUGCUCAAGGACACUUUGAAUCAGGACAUGGAGCAGCCGAGGCUCGAACCACCAACCUUUCAGUUACCAGCGCACCUUCUCUACUCCACGCGCCAUGGUCGCCCCAAUUAAUGUUUAGUAGCAGUGUGUCCUAUGUGUGUGUUCACUGCAGUGUUGGGAUGUUGUAAAAAAGGCACAUAUGGUUGUAUCCCGUUUGUUAAGUUUUCUUUUAAAACUCCAAUAAACAUGGACGAAGUAACAUUUAUUAAAAUGACAUCCUUCAUUUUUUCUGAUUUGGCAACUGCGCAGGACGUCAGUGACGGGUGGGAGGAUCUCAACGCUGAUAGGCUAUCGCGCCGCAGCGUCACGCCAUUAUGUUGUCUGAACUCAUGAGGUCGGUUGACGCGCCUCUCCAGUCUAAUCGCGUCUGUGCAUAGAUUGGAUAUGAAAUCCUGUGGCGAGAAUAAUUCACGUCACGUUUGGUGUGGACUCAGCAUUAAAUGCCCCAAUUUGUUGAGAUGUUCGAUGAUGCCCCUCCCAAACCAACACUGAUCAACAUUACAACCUCUGAUGAGUUUGUAUGGGUGUUCACAAGUUUAAUAAAUGCGUUAACCAAUAAUCCACCAAUAAUUGUUGGCAUUAAGGAAUAACUGUAAAUAAAUAACGUGCCCAGCACUAAUAUACAUAUAACUAUAUGUGUGUGUGUAUAUAUAUAUAUAUGUGUGUGUGUGUGUGUGUGUGUGUGUGUGUGUGUGUGUGUGUGUGUGUGUGUGUAUGUAUGUAUGUGUGUAUAUAUAUAUAUAUAUAUACGUAUGUAUGUAUGUGUGUAUAUAUAUAUAU